RNAcentral lists this transfer RNA (84 nucleotides) under Gredgaria maugeana. RNAcentral describes it as "tRNA-Leu". It matches the Rfam family "tRNA". Rfam says of the family: Transfer RNA (tRNA) molecules are approximately 80 nucleotides in length. The record is from RNAcentral. Lineage: Eukaryota; Rhodophyta; Florideophyceae; Ceramiales; Rhodomelaceae.
UACUCACUUGGUGAAAUUGGUAAACACGAUGGAUUUAAAAUCUAUUCUUAAUUAAGUUAUUGGUUCAAAUCCAAUAGUGAGUAA